GCAUCCGUAGCUCAGCUGGAUAGAGUACUCGGCUACGAACCGAGCGGUCGGAGGUUCAAAUCCUCCCGGAUGCACCA
RNAcentral lists this transfer RNA (77 nucleotides) under Pectobacterium carotovorum. Its description in RNAcentral is "tRNA-Arg". It matches the Rfam family "tRNA". Rfam says of the family: Transfer RNA (tRNA) molecules are approximately 80 nucleotides in length. Their secondary structure includes four short double-helical elements and three loops (D, anti-codon, and T loops). RNAcentral also lists the same sequence under 17 other names. The record is from RNAcentral. Lineage: Bacteria; Pseudomonadati; Pseudomonadota; Gammaproteobacteria; Enterobacterales; Pectobacteriaceae.